UGCCUAUUGUGAGCCCAAGGUGGACUGAUGU
Molecule: non-coding RNA, 31 nt
Filed under: Mus musculus (house mouse)
Lineage: Eukaryota; Metazoa; Chordata; Mammalia; Rodentia; Muridae
Source: RNAcentral